UUCUCUAUACCAUAUGCUUAACUCUAGAAAAAAUUUUAAUGGAUGAUAGCCACUUCCAUAUUUUAACCUACCUCUGUAAGGAUGAUUCAAUGCUAUUCCUACAUCUCAUUUACGAAGCCUGAAAAUAGUCAUAUCUUAUUAUAUGCUCUUUAUUAUAUAUAUGCAUAAAGAAUAGCUUGUUAUGUGGUAAUUGACGGCUCAAUGG
Molecule: long non-coding RNA, 205 nt
Filed under: Carica papaya (papaya)
Lineage: Eukaryota; Viridiplantae; Streptophyta; Magnoliopsida; Brassicales; Caricaceae
Description: long non-coding RNA (CPAP_LNC002328)
Source: RNAcentral